CACUGAAUGUUUUACUAGCACUGGGUGCUCACCAUGCAACGAUGAAGAAAAUGUGGAAACUCAAAAAAGGUCAGGACAGACUCACAAGCACUUGCAACUGAUGUUACUGUCUUCAAUUUUAAUAAUUACACAUAUUUGUAUAUUUCAGAGAAGUUUUUAGUAUUUCUCUGUUCACUUUUUAUAAGCUUUAAAAUGAUUUUCUCUGCCUUGAGAUUUGCAUCAAGAAAAAGCACCUCUCUUCACCUGAAAGCUUUGAAGACUAGAGACACGCUUUACACGUUUUAACAAGUAUAUUGAGUCCACGUUUGGUAGCAUCAGUUGUUGAGUUAAAAAGAAAAUUAUUGCAUUUGAUCUGGAUGGAUUUUAAAAGAACAUAAUGUUCAAUAUUAAAAGGAUAAUUAACAUUUGCCACCGCAAUGUUCUUUUUUAUGUAAAAAGAACAAGAACUUGGAGACAUUAACUUGCAAAAGUCUUUUAUCAUUAGCUCAUGUAUUUGAGGAAGAGCAGCUGUCUUUUUAUAUGUUUUUUGACAAAUCAUAUUGUAAUUCUUUUGUACAAAAAAGAACUACUUGUAUUCUAGAAGAAAUAUGAAAUGCUUAAUUUAUAAGCGGGCUGGAGAUUUUUUCCAAUAUUGUUUUCUUUGAAAAUGAAAGGGGAUCAUCUGUUUAGUUUUGGGGUCUGGGAACUUUUUUUGAUUUUGUGUUUUACUUACUGUUUGCAGUGUUCGGAUUGUUUAGCACAGCCAUUCUCUAGGACCGAUAGAAGCCUCUUUGCCCUCUCUUCAGCAGUUUGCUUUCUCUUUCUUGUGCUGUGUUUAAUAAAGAACACCAGUCCUCUACCCCCAGGGACACCUGUGACCUCUUAUUUACACUUACAAGCAAAUCAGGGAGAAAAUAUGUACGUUUUUGGAAGUUAAUUUUAUUAUAUGAAGAUGGUAUACAAAAUACAUUCAUCAUGACUAGAAAUAUAGGACCAAACCAUGUCUGUCUUAUAUCUGUAGCAUAUAUUCUUGGUUUGUAUAAAAGUAACUUUAAAAUUCCAGUUUCCUUAAAUAGUUAUGCACAAAACACACACACACACACAUACACAUAUAGUUACACCACUGUUGGCCAAAGAUGCACUCCUCCUUUCAUCAAUUUAAAUGAGGCUAGCGAGUAUCUGUUUGAUGUUUGCAUUCUUAUGGGCUAGGAAACAAGGCACAGGUCCCUAAAAUUAACAUCUAGGCGUCACUUUUUGGACUGACAAGAUACAGACUCGUAUAUGGUUUCAGCCCCAUUCCACCCACACUGUUCCACAUACAUUAUCUCAGAAACUCUGAAAGGAAGUGCUUGUUCUUUGUUAGUGCCGUUUUUGUCAUAAAUGGCAAAUGACUGGAAUAUUAUCAGUUAAUUCAUGUUUCAAUUUUCAGUGCUAUUUUAAUGAACAAGCACUUUGUAACUAGCUCAUUAUUACAAGCCUCCAUUUUUCUUUCUACAUUAAGAUUCCAGAUGGAACCAUUCUUUGACUGAUGGAUGGACUCAUGUAUGCUACAAACCUGAGUUUGAAGAAGCUGAGUAACGCAAUUCUAAUGAUUUUUCUUUUCUCUUGGAAAGGAGUAUUUAUUAUGGUCUCUUAAUGAUUAAGAAUUAGAUCAUUGAAAUCAAGACAUAUGAAUAGCUAAGGUUUUAUUUGUUAUCAUUAUUUGCUGGGCUGUUGUCUGAUUUGGAAAAAAAAUAGAGAAUUGACUGAGGUCUUUUUUCUGUGUUUAACCUCCUUCCAGUUACCUGAUUUAUAAUAUUGCCAGCUGUCACAGGUGCUUUUGUGUAUAGAAAGAAGAGGAAGAACGAAGAUUUGUCCUCUUCUGGCUCUAGCCUCCUUUUGUUUGAAUUUAGAUCUUGGUGGAGAGACCUGUCCCGCUCCUCUCUUCUGGCUAGUGA
This 1916-nucleotide long non-coding RNA is filed under the name Piliocolobus tephrosceles (Ugandan red Colobus). Its description in RNAcentral is "lncRNA (ENSPTEG00000018842.1)". Lineage: Eukaryota; Metazoa; Chordata; Mammalia; Primates; Cercopithecidae. The record is from RNAcentral.